AAUGAACGCUGGCGGCGUGCUUAACACAUGCAAGUCGUGCGCGAAAGCGGCUUCGGCCGCUGGAGAGCGGCGAACGGGUGAGUAACACGUGGAUAACCUGCCUGGAAGCGGGGGAUAACCUGGGGAAACUUGGGCUAAUACCGCAUACGUUCGUGGGGUCAUGGCCCUGCGAACAAAGAUGGCCUCUGCUUGCAAGCUAUCGCUUCCAGGAGGGGUCCGCGCCUGAUAGCUAGUUGGUAGGGUAACGGCCUACCAAGGCGAUGAUCAGUAGCCGGCCUGAGAGGGUGAUCGGCCACACUGGAACUGAGACACGGUCCAGACUCCUACGGGAGGCAGCAGUGGGGAAU
RNAcentral lists this ribosomal RNA (347 nucleotides) under uncultured bacterium. RNAcentral's name for it is "bacterial SSU rRNA". It matches the Rfam family "Bacterial small subunit ribosomal RNA", at positions 29 to 362 of the family's 1533-position model. The record is from RNAcentral.